This 663-nucleotide ribosomal RNA is filed under the name uncultured bacterium. RNAcentral describes it as "bacterial SSU rRNA". It matches the Rfam family "Bacterial small subunit ribosomal RNA", at positions 99 to 749 of the family's 1533-position model. The record is from RNAcentral.
CGAACGGGUGAGUAACACGUGGGCAACCUGCCCAAAAGAGGGGGAUAACACUUGGAAACAGGUGCUAAUACCGCAUAACCAUAGUUACCGCACGGUAACUAUGUAAAAGGUGGCUAUGCUACCGCUUUUGGAUGGGCCCGCGGCGCAUUAGCUAGUUGGUGGGGUAAAGGCUUACCAAGGCAAUGAUGCGUAGCCGAACUGAGAGGUUGAUCGGCCACAUUGGGACUGAGACACGGCCCAAACNCCNNCGGGAGGCAGCAGUAGGGAAUCUUCCACAAUGGGCGAAAGCCUGAUGGAGCAACGCCGCGUGGGUGAAGAAGGUCUUCGGAUCGUAAAACCCUGUUGUUAGAGAAGAAAGUGCGUGAGAGUAACUGUUCACGUUUCGACGGUAUCUAACCAGAAAGCCACGGCUAACUACGUGCCAGCAGCCGCGGUAAUACGUAGGCGGCAAGCGUUAUCCGGAUAUAUUGGGCGUAAAGGGAACGCAGGCGGUCUUUUAAGUCUGAUGUGAAAGCCUUCGGCUUAACCGAAGUAGUGCAUUGGAAACUGGGAGACUUGAGUGCAGAAGAGGAGAGUGGAACUCCAUGUGUAGCGGUGAAAUGCGUAGAUAUAUGGAAGAACACCAGUGGCGAAAGCGGCUCUCUGGUCUGUAACUGACGCUGA